Molecule: RNA transcript, 865 nt
Organism: Arabidopsis thaliana (thale cress)
Lineage: Eukaryota; Viridiplantae; Streptophyta; Magnoliopsida; Brassicales; Brassicaceae
Exons: 4
Source: RefSeq
UUAAUUCGGGGUUUUAGCUGAAGGCACUUGAAAGUCUGGUGCUUGAACGUAUUGGACGUUUCCUGUAUCAAGGAAGAAGGAUUUCCACGUCCUGUUCAACUCAACUUGUGCGAGUACAUAUGAUCCUCGAUCGUCCGACAUUAUCCCAUGUGAAGUUCUCGAGAACGCCAAAGAUAUAAAAAGUAGUGUGAAACCAGAGGAAUAGAAAAACUAUUGACCAAGACUAGGACUGAAAUUAGGAUAUCAACUUUUAGGCUGAGGAAGACUAAGGAGCGCACAGCAUGGAAAAAUUUGAACUCUGUGGAAACCGGCAUCCCCAUGAAUUUUUGAAAGAGUCAUGUGGUUAACUGGUGUACAAUCUGGUUUGGCAGGUGCUUCACUGAAACUUGCGUCUACUUUCUCUUGCAUAUUUUGAUCCCUAGGGAAUAUAUAGAGAAGACGAGGGUAGGUUUUUGUUUGAAACAUGAGCCAGAGAUAGUAUUAUUAGUUUAUGAAAAUCAAAGCAAGUGUUAGAGAAGCUCUGUGAUUAUGGUCUUUUGUGUUUUGACCAGUUGUUGGACCCUGAACAGCUAAUAAAUGGUGUCAAGGAUAAUCCAAUUUCUUACUAAGACAUUAGAUCCAAAAAUUACUUCAGAUUAUGGGUUUUUCGUAGUGAUCCCCCAUGUAUAGCAGAUGUGAUUAUGGUUCUUAUUAGACUUUGGGCUAUUCCUAGGAUUUUUGAAAAAUAAAUUUAAACUAAGAAAGUUGGGAUAAAUGUACAGAACCGUUUUGGAUGUAUAGCCAAAAUUUCUUGCACUGUCUGUCUAUAUGUGAACCAUUGAGUUUUUUUUAUUCCUUACAAGACUCAAUUUUCAUCAUAAAUAUG